CGGGAUGUAGCGCAGUCCGGUAGCGCGCUUCGUUCGGGACGAAGAGGUCGUAGGUUCGAAUCCUAUCAUCCCGA
RNAcentral lists this transfer RNA (74 nucleotides) under Bacteroidota bacterium. RNAcentral's name for it is "Bacteroidetes bacterium tRNA-Pro". It matches the Rfam family "tRNA". From Rfam's summary of the family: Transfer RNA (tRNA) molecules are approximately 80 nucleotides in length. Their secondary structure includes four short double-helical elements and three loops (D, anti-codon, and T loops). The record is from RNAcentral. Lineage: Bacteria; Pseudomonadati; Bacteroidota. RNAcentral also lists the same sequence under 1 other name.